This 392-nucleotide ribosomal RNA is filed under the name uncultured bacterium. RNAcentral describes it as "partial 16S ribosomal RNA". It matches the Rfam family "Bacterial small subunit ribosomal RNA", at positions 523 to 918 of the family's 1533-position model. The record is from RNAcentral.
AUACGGAGGAUCCGAGCGUUAUCCGGAUUUAUUGGGUUUAAAGGGUGCGCAGGCGGCCGUUUAAGUCAGCGGUUAAAUCGUGGGGCUCAACCCCAUUCUGCCGUUGAUACUGGGUGGCUUGAUUGCGGUCGAGGUUGGCGGAAUUCGUUGUGUAGCGGUGAAAUGCAUAGAUAUGACGAAGAACACCGAUUGCGUAGGCAGCCGACCAGACCGCAAAUGACGCUCAUGCACGAAAGUGCUGGGAUCGAACAGGAUUAGAUACCCUGGUAGUGCGCACAGUAAACGAUGAAUACUUGUUUUCGGCGAUAUAAUGUCGGAGGCAAAGCGAAAGCGAUAAGUAUUCCACCUGGGGAGUACGCCGGCAACGGUGAAACUCAAAUGAAUUGACGGGG